GUCCAUGAGGGGUGUCCUACGGAUAAGUCCUCUGCAUUUCCUAGAGCAGUCUGGGUUACUGUUAACAGUUUGAGCAUGUUUACCUUUUUUUUUUUUUUUUUUUUUGAAAAAAAAAAUGUCUGGAGUGGGAAAUGAGAAUGGAAUGACAGAUAUCUCAGUAAGGAUGCCGUCCUGUUGCUUAGCAGCAGGCAAGAAAGCCAAGAGUGUUUUUUAAAAGUUGGACUUAUAAAUGGAACACCUGCAUCCAGUUUUGAUUGCCUCACUUCAAGAAUGAUAGAGCAUAAAUUGAAAGAAUCUGAAGAAGUGAAAAAACUGAUUAUAGGUUUUGUGGGGAACUAGUAUAUGUCAGUAAUCCACAAGUAUAGUUCAGCAGCUGUUUACUGGCAUAGUGGCUGUGUCAACAGUUUCAAGGACACCUUUGCCUACAUCUUGAUGAACUAGCAUGCAAGAAAAGUAGUUGAUCUUCACUUGUGUUGGAGAAGAGAGUGCCUAUUUUCUUUUUCAUGUGUCAUUUUAGUCUGCAAAGUAAAACCUCAUACCAGCCUACUGAUAAAAGUGCUUUGAUUUUUUUUUUCCACAAAAGACAUGUGAAUUGUCUUUCAGACACACUGUAGUUUGAUUUGGUGCCAUAAUUUUUUUUCUGGCAUACAGAUAUGGUGGUCCCCUAACUGCUUUUUUUUUUAACCUACUUUUAAAACAUAAUGUGUGCUGACAGACACAGUUCAGCUAACAAACGGCCACAGACUAUAAAACCAGGUAAGGGAAUGGCCUUUCUCUUAGCAGAGCAGUUGAUAUUAGUAGGAAGAAAUAAUUUUGUCUGCCUAUGUCAAAUAAUGCAGGCUGCGUUAGCUGUCAUCUAAAAUGUUGUCUAUUUCAGUAGGUUAGUUUAGCUGGUGAACAUGAGGCAGAGGGAUAUUAUGAUUUGAUGCCCAUUUGGUGGCAUUCUUUGGAGAAGGUUUAAGUGGUAUAAACUUGCUGGAGGAAGUAAGUCACUAGGGCUGGGGUUUGAGAGCUUAAAUCUUCGUUCCACUUCCAGUGCUCUCCAUUGCUGUGCUAAACAUCAUAAUCAAAAGUAACUUGCUUAGCAUAUAUAUCCCAUUCACAGUAGGUCUCCGAGAGAAGUUGAGGCAGGACCUGAACCUGGAACCCGGCAGGAGGAACUGCCACAGAAGCCAUGGAGGAAAGUUUUUUACUGGUUUGUUGUCAUGGCUCACUCAGCCUGCUUUUUUAUACUACACAGGACCACCUGCCUAGAGUUGGCACAACCCAUAGUCAUCUGGGCACUCUCACAUCAAUCAUUAGUCAAGAAAUACCUCACAAACUCAUUCAUAGGCUAAUUUAGCUGAAGCAUUUUCUCAAUUUUGAUUCCCUCUUCUCAGAUGACUAUGACUUUUGUCGAGUGAGGAAAAACUUAGGCAGUAUAUCUGACAUGAUAAACUAUGAGUACUGUGAUUAGGAAUAAACCCCUUCUCCCUUAAGUUGCUUUUAUUGAAGUAACAGAAAAAGAAAUUAAGAAAUUAUUACCUAUUCUGUCAUUGGUGAGUCUUAAGGACAAACAAAUGAAAAGACGUGUCUGGUGAGGAUGGAAGGGCACUUAAAGUUAUGUGAAUUAGAGUUCUUAAGACAUCAACCUAAAAGAGGCUAGUGCCUUUUUAUUGAGAGCAUAUCGAUGGUUUAAAACAAUGGAUUAUGACAUUCUCAUACAUGUAUGAACAUACAUAUAUGUACUUUGUUAAAAAAUGCUCCAUUGCCUUCUUUUGUCCCUAUCUCCCCUUUCUGCUGGUCCCCUUUCUCAUAGUUCAUAUAUGCUUUUACGUGUAUUUUUAAAAAUCUAGAUUAUAAAUAUGAGAGAACAGGUCUUUCUGAAUCUGUCUAGUAUAUUUUAUAUGUUAUUAUUUUAUUUAUUUACAUCCCAAAUGUUGCCCCCUCCCAGUUCCCACUUGCAGAGUUCUCCCCCCCCCCCACCAGCCCUCUCCCCUUAGCCCCUCAGAGUUUGCUCCUCCCAGGCAUCUCCCCUCCCUGGGGCAUCAAGUCUCUACUAAUUUAUUACCAUGCUUUCUGGUUCCAUCUAUUUACCUGCAAAUUACUUAAUGCCACUUUUUUUAAAUGGGCAAAUAAUACUACAUUGUACACAUAUGCCACAUUUCCUUUUUCUAUUCAUAAUAGUUCAUAAUUAUCCUGAAUAAUUUAAUAACAUGGCUCUUGUGUCCAUUGUGUGCCUUACCACUUAUUAAUUACCUUCAUUUUAGCUCUUUAUCUUAAGUGUUGGGGCUUGUUAGACUCCUCUCCAACAUGGAUCACCUGUCAAUUGGUGGUGUCAUUAUGUAGGUCUUAUUUAGGUGACCAUAUCAUUGAGAUUUCAUGGGGGAAGCUUUUUCUACUAUAUAUUGAAGAUAGUGUGUCACAGCAGAUAGCAUGGUUCUCUGGAUCUACAAUCUCUCUGUCCCCUCUUCUAUGAUAUUCAGUGAACCAUAGAUAUAGGUAUGUUGCAGAUGUAUCAGUUGGGUUGGGUACCCCUAAGAUUAGUUAUUCUUUGCAUUUUGACCAGUUAUUGAUUUCUAUAAUAGAUCCAAUCUGCUGCAGAAGAAAACAUAUUUGAUGAGGGAUAAGAGCUACUACUAUUUGUGAAUAUAAGGAUAAGUAUUUAAAAUGCACUUAGAAAAUAUACUGGCUUAAGAGAAUGGCACUAUAAAGUUCUUCUCCACAAUCCGGGACCUCAUCAGCCAUGGGCACUUGGCUAGGUAAAUAAUAAUAUUUUGUGAUAUCUCAAUAAAAAGGAAAGAAAUGCUUUCAGAAGAAGAUAUAGUCUUUUGACCAGAGUAUCUUAGCUGGGCAUCACUUAGAUUAGUGGUUCUCAACUUGUGGGCCCCACAAAAGAGGAAGGCAGCCGUGGACUGAGGCUGAGAAGGAGCCUUCACAUGUUGUUGCUAGAAUAUGGUAUUCUAUCUUGAGUCCUUCGCAGUCAGGUACCUUGGGUCCAGGAGAAUAAUGCACGUUGUGGUUUUUGCCUGAUUGCAUUUUGUUUUUCUCUCUGUUCACGACUCUUUUCACUACAUUGUCAUUUACUCCUUUACUUUUAUUGUACCAAUAGUCAUGUGAUCUACAUGAAUAUUUAAUUAUAUAUUUAUAAUUUGGCGCUGCGUUUUGAAACCUAUAGGGGCCAAUACUGGGCCAUUUGAUUCUGAAGCUGCUGAUUUUAUGUAAGUUUUAGGUAGAAUGUAGAAGAACUCUUUCUUUUCUGAACAUAUAUUAUACUAGAUAACAUUUUCUCAGAGUACAGUUUGAUCAUUAUGCAUGGUUCCAGUCACUCCUUAACUUACUGUUUCUCAUAAUAAUUUGACUAGAGUUUGAAAAUUAUAAACUCAUUUAAAAGAGAACAUGAUGCCUUGCAUUUUUAAAGCUACUACUUAAAUUAUUUUAAGUUAUAUGUGCAUCCAUUAAGUAGGUUUUACAGAAGCAUCCAGUAGAAUUUAUGGACUUAGAGUCCUAAAGGAUACUUAGAGCCUUAAAGUGAGUUUUAGAAAACAUUUACUGGACAGAUGUUAUACAGACACUAAGAGAACACAAAUGCCAGCCCAGGCUAAUAUACCCGGCCAAACUCUCAAUUACCAUAGAUGGAGAAACCAAAGUAUUCCACGACAAAUCCAAAUUCACACAAUAUCUUUCCAUGAAUCCAGCCCUUCAAAGGAUAAUAACAGAAAAGAAGCAAUACAAGGACUGAAAUCACGCCCUAGAACAAGCAAGAAAGUAAUCCCUCAACAAACCAAAAAGAAGACAGCCACAAGAACAGAAUGCCAACUCUAAC
Molecule: long non-coding RNA, 3805 nt
Filed under: Mus musculus (house mouse)
Lineage: Eukaryota; Metazoa; Chordata; Mammalia; Rodentia; Muridae
Description: long non-coding RNA chr4:22408290-22412095
Source: RNAcentral